RNAcentral lists this ribosomal RNA (253 nucleotides) under uncultured Thauera sp. RNAcentral describes it as "partial 16S ribosomal RNA". It matches the Rfam family "Bacterial small subunit ribosomal RNA", at positions 1130 to 1382 of the family's 1533-position model. The record is from RNAcentral. Lineage: Bacteria; Pseudomonadati; Pseudomonadota; Betaproteobacteria; Rhodocyclales; Zoogloeaceae.
GUUGGGCACUCUAGUGAGACUGCCGGUGACAAACCGGAGGAAGGUGGGGAUGACGUCAAGUCCUCAUGGCCCUUAUGGGUAGGGCUUCACACGUCAUACAAUGGUCGGUACAGAGGGUUGCCAAGCCGCGAGGUGGAGCCAAUCCCUUAAAGCCGAUCGUAGUCCGGAUCGUAGUCUGCAACUCGACUACGUGAAGUCGGAAUCGCUAGUAAUCGCAGAUCAGCAUGCUGCGGUGAAUACGUUCCCGGGUCUU